AGACCCCACUGGAGCAUUAUUCAGAAAGGGCGAAUCGGUCCCAGCCUCUCUGCUUGGCUUGUGGAUGGCUGUCCCCUCUCUGACUUCUCCUCGUCUUCUCGCCGGGGGUUUCCCAGUGUCCAGACUCCCCCCUUUAUAAGAAUGACAGUCACACUGGGUUAGGGCCCCUCUAAUGGCUUUAACCUGGUUGCCUCUGGGAGGAUGCUGUCUCCGAACCAGUCACACGGGACUGGGGGACUUCGGACUCCGGCAUAUGAAUUUCAGGGCCGGGAGGGGAACACAAGUCAACCCAUAACUACAGGUACGAAAAAGAAAAAAAAAAAAAAACAAUUCUGAGCCCCCAGACUUUAUCAGUGUUGCUCGUGGGUCUGUAUUCUUCCUGGCUUCUUUCUAUGGACAAAAAACCAUAUGGCAAAGAGAGAUUUUUGUGUUUGCAGCAGCCAAAUCAAAUCCUUUUCUUGUUGGGCAAGUGCGUUGUUAAGCCUCGGUGGCUCAUGUCUGGCAUUUGAGGGCCGGCGGGUGGAGGGGCUCAGAGUCUGAGGCUCCGCCCAGGCCAUCAGCCUGACAGUGGCACAGGUAAACCAGAGACACCCCACCAAGCCUCCCCCAGAGAGCGCUUUAGAGUGGGGAGGGAUAUGGGUGUGUGUGUGAUGGGCUGGGAGUGAAUUCACUUUUAAGUCAGGAUAUGACUUUUUAUUUUAUUUUGUAUCGCUCUUUAGGGCUGCACAUGCGGCAUAUGGUAUAUGGUUCCUGGUAUGUGGUGCCCAGGCUAGGGGUCGAAUUGGAGCUGCAGCUGCCGGCCUAUGCCACAGCCACAGCCAUGCGGGAUCCGAGCCUCAUCUUCAGGGAUGGUAGUUGGGUUCGUAACGGCUGAUCCACGAGGGGAACUCGAAGUUGGGGUGUGGCUUAGAUCGCAAGGGCAGGGAAGAAGCAUGUUCUCUGGCACAAGCUCUGCCCCUUGUUGUGUGCGCCCCCAUCCCAGCAUCCUGCCAUCUGUCUGGCCAUCUUCCUGGUCGGCUCGCUGCCCUUCAGGCGGCUCCCAGAUCCCUCCUGGCCUGAAGCACCCUCUCCUUGUUGCGAUGCAGUGUCUGCCACCUGCCCUGCCUCUGGGCAGGUGCUGUGGCUCCCGAGAGAAGACCCUGCAGGGUGGGGUGCACUCUCGGUGCUGGGGGAGGGGGGAGACAAGGCUCCCCAGUCCCGGCUGGAGUGGGGCCGCUGUCUGCUUCCAGGCAGGGGGCUGGCUGGGCUGGGGAGGGCUGCCUGGGCCUGCCUCCAGGGCCCCGCAGCCGUUCCCUUGUCAGAUAGACACGAGGCUGGCUCACUGUGCCUUCCGCCUCCUAGGUGAGCCUGGCAGUCACUGCUCGCCCCCCUGCCAGGCCUCAGUUUCCCUCUCUGGAGAACAUGGGGAGCAUCUCAAAUGGCCCUGGGGGUUGUCGGAUGAAAUAGGUGGCGUGUGGCUCUCCGUGGCACUUGAGACCCUUAGCCAGCCUGGGUCUCCCCCUCCCCCUGCCCUUCCUAGACGCAUCCCAGAGGCCCCAGAGGGCGAAGGCGAGGAGUCUGAGGGCCCCCUUAGGGAGCAGGACCUGAAGGAGGCCUACAUCCCGCUGGUCCGGGGGCUGCAGGAGUGGCAGGACGGCUGCAUCUACCGCGGAGAGUUCGGGCUGGACAUGAAGCUGGGAUACGGGGAGUUCUCUUGGCCGACGGGCGAGUCCUACCACGGGCAGUUCUACCGGGAUCACUGCCACGGCCUGGGCACCUACACGUGGCCGGACGGCUCCAGCUUCACGGGCACCUUUUACCUCAGCUCCCGGGAAGGUUAUGGCAUCGCGCGGCGGCCGGCGAGGCUCUUCCAGGGGCUGUACAAAGCGGACGAGCGGUUCGGGCCGGGCAUCGAGACCUACCCCGACGGCAGCCAGGACGUGGGGCUGUGGUUCCGAGAGCACCUCAUCAAGCUGUGCGUGGAGAUCCCCAGCGGCUUCUCCCUCCGCGGCUACCCCGAGUUCUCGGGCUUUCUCACGCACACACCUGUCAGAAUCAGCCUCUCGGACGAGGAGAAGAUGGAGUGGGCCCCGCGGGAAGGGCAGGACCCGUUCUUCUACGACUACAAGCGGUUUCUGCUGGAUGACAGCCUCACUCUGCCUCCGGAAAUGUACCUCUACUCAACCGACCACAGCCACCUGCCCAUGACCUCCUCCUUCCGCCAAGACCUGAACGCCCGCGUCUUUCUGAAUGACGUCCCCCCGUUUGUGGAGGAUGGCGAGCCCUGGUUUAUCAAAAACGAGACCCCGCUGAUGGUCAGAAUCCAGAGGCAGGCUUACAAGUUCAGGAACAAGAGGGCUCAUGCCAGCUGGAACGUGGACACCAUCCUGGAGGGGAAACGGAGCGGCUUCGCGCGCCGCGGGCCCAAGGAGCGGCUUUCCAAGGAGAUGAUCCUGCAGGCCCAGGAGGGGAAUCACGACUGGAUUUACGGGGUCCUGAAGGACAACCUUGUCAGCCCCGACGUGGCCGACGCCAGGGGCUACACGGUGCUGGCCGCGGCCGCUGUUCACUGUCACGUGGACAUCGUCAACCUCCUGCUGGACAACGGGGCUGACGUGAACAAGCGCACGGACGAGGGGCUCACGGCCCUCAGCAUGUGCUUCCUCCUCUACUACCCGACCGGGGCCUUCGAGCCCGGCGUUGCCGAGAGGACGGUGCCUGAGCCCCAGGAAACUUCAAAACCUGUAACAAUUCCCAGCUGUUCCUCCUCCAUCCCCGAGGCGGCUGAGGAGCCAGCGCGUCUGGAGGAGCUGGCACGGGCCCAAGGCGGCCAGGACCCAAAGCCAGAGGGCAGCCGGGCGUCUUGGGACAGGGACCCCAGGAGCAGCCCCCCAAGGUGGGGCUCCGCUUCCCUCAGGAGCAGCGCCAGCCACUCGGGGAAUUCGCGGAGUGCGGGGCCGGGGCCCUUGGACCGGUGCUCCCUGUGCAGCUGCGAGACGGACUUGGAGUCCAGCGGGUGCGUGCGCAACUCCUGCGCUGAGCUGUCGCAGGACCUGCUGGAGCGGAGCGCCCAGAAGCACAGCCUGCUGAAGGCCCCCGCCGCCCUGGCCGCCACCCCCGCUGACGAGGGCACCGUGAGGAGGAUGGCGCGGUCCAUGGUCCAACGCAGACGCAGGUGGCUGACCAUCAGCCUCCUGCUGCGGCGCGGCGCCGACCCCAACCUGUGCCGCGUGCCCAUGCAGGUGCUGCUCCUCGCGGUGAAGGCCGGGGACGUGGACGGCGUGAAGCUGCUGCUGGAGAGCGGGGCCCGGACCGACAUCCAGUUCCCGCCGCAGCUGGGGGCCCUGACCCCCCUCCACCUCGCGGCCGCCCUUCCUGGGGACGAGGGCAUCAAGAUCACAGAGCUGCUGCUCCAUGCCAUCACCGACGUGGACGCCCGGGCGGCCGACCAGGACGACGUGUACAAGCCGGGCAAGCCGGACCUGCUGCCCUCGAGCCUGAAGCUCAGCAGCGAAGCAGGCCCGCCCAGCACCUACUACAGUGGCUGUGCGUCUGUCCCCGACGAGGGUGGCAGGACGGCGCUGCACGUGGCCUGCGAGCGGGAGGACAACCACAGGUGUGCCAGGGACAUAGUCCGGCUCCUCCUGUCGCACAGGGCGAAUCCCAACACCCUGUGGAGUGGCCACUCCCCACUCUCCCUGUCCAUCGCCAGCGGCAACGACCUGAUUGUGAAGGAGCUUCUGUCCUAUGGAGCUGACCCCAACUUACUCCUGACCAAAGGCCUGGGCAGUGCCCUGUGUGUGGCCUGCGACCUCACCUACGAGAGCCGGAGGAGCAUGGACAGCAAGCUGGCCCUGAUCGACCGGCUCAUUAGUCACGGGGCCGACAUCCUGAACCCCGUGACCCUCACGCAGGGGGACAAGGUGGCGGUGGGCACUGCUGUCGACUACGGCUAUUUCAGAUUCUACCAGGACCGGAAGAUCGCCCACUCCCCCUUCCACACGCUGAUGCCGGCAGAGCGGGAGAUGUUUCUGGCCCGGAAGAAGCUGCUGGAAUACAUGGGCGUCCAGCUGCGGCGAGCAGUCUUUGCCAAGGAGUGCCAGUGGGAUCAAAAGGUGCUGACCCUGAGCAAGCGAGCAGCACCAUUCGCAAAAGCCAAAGAAGGGAAACAACGCGGGUCGUGGUGAACGGAUAAGCCAGUGCCCGUGUCUCGUCACGCAGUGGAAUCGUCGUCACCCAUGAAAAGGACAGUGGUGCUGACACGGCCACCACGGGAUGAACCUUGAAAACAUUACCCUGACAAUCCAGCCCCCAGGGACCCCAUGCUCUGAGGUUCUAUUCCUGUGAAAUGUCCAGACAGGAAAAUACAUGGGGACAAAGCAGCUUAGUGUCGCUCCCGGCCGGGGGUAGGGCGCCGGGCGAGACGCUGUGGGCGCUGGGCUCCGCUUCGGGGGGACGGGGAGGCUCUCGCAUUGGCUGUGAGGAGGGUCACGCACGCGAAUGCGCCGAAGGCCGCGGGGCUGUACGCUUUUCUUUUCUUUUGCUUCUUAGGGCCACACCCGUGGCACACGGAGGGUCCCAGGCUAGGGGUCGAAUUGAGCUCAGCUCCCAGCCACACUAGAGCCACGGCAAUGCGGGAUCUGAGCCGAGUCUGCGACCUACACCACAGCUCAGGGCAACACUGGAUCCUUUUUUGCUGUUGUUGCUGAGAAGAGCUUAUUUGAGGCUUGCAUAUGUCCGUUCGCCGUAGAGUUUUAAAGCGGAGCUGGCCCCCUGCCUCCGGAUGAAGCAGAAGGGCACCAGUGUGCCCAAAGGGCUGGAC
This is an RNA transcript of Phacochoerus africanus (Common warthog), 4801 nucleotides long. It is a transcript of the gene named ankyrin repeat and MYND domain containing 1, with no coding region annotated. The record is from RefSeq and is a predicted model, not a curated record. The transcript is spliced from 15 exons. Lineage: Eukaryota; Metazoa; Chordata; Mammalia; Artiodactyla; Suidae.